CUGCUUCAGCAGCACAUAUACUAAAAUUGGAAUGAUACAUAGAAGAUUAGCAUGACCUCUGCACAAGAAUGACAUGCAAAUUCAUGAAGUGUUGCAUAUUUUA
Artibeus jamaicensis (Jamaican fruit-eating bat) is the source of this 103-nucleotide small nuclear RNA. Lineage: Eukaryota; Metazoa; Chordata; Mammalia; Chiroptera; Phyllostomidae. The record is from RefSeq and is a predicted model, not a curated record.